UACGUAGGGUACGAGCGUUGUCCGGAAUUAUUGGGUGUAAAGAGCUCGUAGGUGGUUGGUCACGUCUGCUGUGAAAUCCCGGGGCUCAACUCCGGGCCUGCAGUGGGUACGGGCAGGCUAGAGUGCGGUAGGGGAGAUUGGAAUUCCUGGUGUAGCGGUGGAAUGCGCAGAUAUCAGGAGGAACACCGGUGGCGAAGGCGGGACUCUGGGCUGUAACUGACACUGAGGAGCGAAAGCAUGGGGAGCGAACAGG
RNAcentral lists this ribosomal RNA (253 nucleotides) under uncultured bacterium. RNAcentral's name for it is "partial 16S ribosomal RNA". It matches the Rfam family "Bacterial small subunit ribosomal RNA", at positions 524 to 776 of the family's 1533-position model. The record is from RNAcentral.